UGCCAGGCUCGGUGCAAUUUCAGAUUAUGAACCAGGUCAGAUUCGGAAGAAAGCAGCCUUAAGUAGCCCCUGAGAUGUGUCAUCGAUGUCCUGGUUUUA
This 99-nucleotide signal recognition particle RNA is filed under the name Candidatus Cloacimonadota bacterium. RNAcentral describes it as "signal recognition particle sRNA small type". It matches the Rfam family "Bacterial small signal recognition particle RNA". From Rfam's summary of the family: The signal recognition particle (SRP) is a universally conserved ribonucleoprotein involved in the co-translational targeting of proteins to membranes. Archaeal SRP consists of a 7S RNA and homologues of the eukaryotic SRP19 and SRP54 proteins. In most bacteria, the SRP consists of a 4.5S RNA and the Ffh protein (a homologue of the eukaryotic SRP54 protein). Lineage: Bacteria; Pseudomonadati; Candidatus Cloacimonadota. The record is from RNAcentral.